This is a long non-coding RNA of Osmerus eperlanus (European smelt), 1074 nucleotides long. RefSeq lists it as uncharacterized. The transcript has 5 exons. The record is from RefSeq and is a predicted model, not a curated record. NCBI's taxonomy places the organism in Eukaryota, Metazoa, Chordata, Actinopteri, Osmeriformes, Osmeridae.
CCACGUACGAACCACUUUUCCGGUUCUCAGUCUGUCGAAAGAGAAAGAACUGGUUCGUGAUUAAGCACCGGCUCCGAACCGACACCCAAAAUGCAUUGGUGGAAAAGGGGUAUGUGACUCCACAUUAGUUGGAGCGCUGAAGUUCAAAAACACAAACACAGCUUUGAGAUGGAUCCCAAGCCACGGUGGACAACAAAAAAAGGACCAAUAAAGAGACUACUUUUCUUCCUCUGCCACAACCACAACCAGUGACUGCAACAUCCCAUUGUUAGACAGAUUAUCCUACCACCGUCACACGGCCUAGCACUGUGUCCCUGGGAAAUGAUGAUGCCAUACCCUUAGGUGUCAACUCUGGUCUGGUGGAGGAGAACCCAUUGGGGGCCCAGAAAACAGCUGGCAGCCAGGCAAGUGCAAAUAUAAGACACUCAAAAAAAUACUCAAAGCUUUUCAAUAGCAUUGCCAACUCAUUGUAAGGCAUACCUAAGUUGUUCUGAUCGUGGUGGGGGGAUACAUAUUUGUCAAAACAACAAAUGUUUUCAUACUAAUGCUUUGUAUACAACCAUUCAAGGUAACAUUUGUUAUUUACAUCAAUGUUACAGCUAAUAUAGAAGAACCACAGUGUAUGCCAAUCAUGCAAACUCUUGUAAACUCUUUUUACUUGUCUUUAAUGACAGACACAUUACAGGUUAUCAUCCGGAAGAUGGAGACAUUGAAGGAGAACCAGCAAGAGGCUCUCCUAUUCAGUCGACUACAGGGCAGACACACUGAAGAGGUGCCAGUGAUGGACCUACAGGUGGCCCAAACACAGGCUGAACUCCAAGACCUUGAGGAGCGCCUUAAGGUGCUGGAGCCGAGUGCACCAGCUGGGCGUAAAAAAACGCUGUGAUGAAGUGGAAGACGGGACUGGGAGAGAAGGCUGUGGAGCUCCUCAUAGCGGAGACACUCAAACAAGCCCCGGCAGGCCAUUCAAAACAAGUCAGUCAGGGCAAACAAACAGGACCUGUAGCGGGGACUGGCAGAAGAUUUUAAUUCACUGUUUGGCACUUUGUUUGAAAUAAAAUGACUGAAUGUUAC